This 465-nucleotide ribosomal RNA is filed under the name uncultured bacterium. RNAcentral's name for it is "partial 16S ribosomal RNA". It matches the Rfam family "Bacterial small subunit ribosomal RNA", at positions 338 to 795 of the family's 1533-position model. The record is from RNAcentral.
CCUACGGGAGGCAGCAGUAGGGAAUUUUCGUCAAUGGGCGCAAGCCUGAACGAGCAAUGCCGCGUGAACGAGGAAGGUCUUCGGAUCGUAAAGUUCUGUUGAAGGGGAAAAAGAGCGGAGAGAGGAAAUGAACUCCGAUUGAUAUUACCCUUCGAGGAAGUCACGGCUAACUACGUGCCAGCAGCCGCGGUAAUACGUAGGUGGCGAGCGUUAUCCGGAAUGAUUGGGCGUAAAGGUGGCGUAGGCGGCCUGCUAAGGCUGGGGUGAAAGGUACCGGCUCAACCGGUACAGGCUCUGGAAACUGGCGGGCUAGAGAGCAGGAGAGGGCGGUGGAACUCCAUGUGUAGCGGUAAAAUGCGUAGAUAUAUGGAAGAACACCAGUGGCGAAGGCGGCCGCCUGGCCUGUUGACUGACGCUGAGGCACGAAAGCGUGGGGAGCAAAUAGGAUUAGAUACCCUAGUAGUC